RNAcentral lists this ribosomal RNA (206 nucleotides) under uncultured bacterium. RNAcentral describes it as "partial 16S ribosomal RNA". It matches the Rfam family "Bacterial small subunit ribosomal RNA", at positions 568 to 774 of the family's 1533-position model. The record is from RNAcentral.
CACGCAGGCGGUUUGUUAAGCCAGAUGUGAAAGCCCCGGGCUCAACCCGGGAACUGCAUUUGGAACUGGCAGACUAGAGUCUUGGAGAGGGGGUAGAAUUUCCGGUGUAGCGGUGAAAUGCGUAGAGAUCGGAAGGAAUACCAGUGGCGAAGGCGGCCCCCUGGCCAAAGACUGACGCUCAGGUGCGAAAGCGUGGGGAGCAAACA